AUGGCGGAUGCACCUCUGUACAAGCAGCGCUGCAAGUACAUCAGGGAGCUCCACGACGUCCACCUCCACGGCAAUCACAAACUCCACGUCCUUUGCACAAGCAAGGGCAAAGACGUGGACAAGAUGUUGUCCACGUUCAGGAGGAAGCUCGGCAGAAUGCCCGUCAAACUAGUCGGCGUUGAUGUCGAGUACACACACUACGAGAAGCCACAGCGUGCAGCGGUACUACAGCUAUGCGUAGAAAAAGAAUGCCUUGUCUACCACAUAUCUGCAGCUAAAGACAGGCCAAUGGAACUAGACAAAUUCCUGAUGAAUGAUGAGUACACCUUCGUCGGAUUCGCUAUUGAAGGAGACAAAAGCAAGCUGAAGGUAUCUGGUUUGGAGAUCAACUCCAACAACUACAUUGAUAUUCAGGUGGAAUGGAGAGACCCAUACAAUAAAAAGAAGUUUGACUCUUUGGCUGAUGUUGCUGGCAGGAUGAUAGACAUUGACUACCAUGACAUGAAGAAAAAAAUU
Molecule: ribosomal RNA, 516 nt
Filed under: Triticum aestivum (bread wheat)
Lineage: Eukaryota; Viridiplantae; Streptophyta; Magnoliopsida; Poales; Poaceae
Description: partial small subunit ribosomal RNA
Source: RNAcentral